CCUACGGGUGGCUGCAGUGGGGAAUUUUCCGCAAUGGGCGAAAGCCUGACGGAGCAAUACCGCGUGAGGGAUGAAUGCCUAUGGGUUGUAAACCUCUUUUUUCAAGGAGGAAUAAAAUGACGUGUACUUGAAGAAUAAGCAUCGGCUAACUCCGUGCCAGCAGCCGCGGUAAGACGGGGGAUGCAAGUGUUAUCCGGAAUCACUGGGCGUAAAGCGUCUGUAGGUGGUUAAAUAAGUCAACUGUUAAAUCUUGAGGCUCAACCUCAAAAUCGCAGUCGAAACUGUUUGACUAGAGUAUAGUAGGGGUAAAGGGAAUUUCCAGUGGAGCGGUGAAAUGCGUAGAGAUUGGAAAGAACACCAAUGGCGAAGGCACUUUACUGGGCUAUUACUAACACUGAGAGACGAAAGCUAGGGUAGCAAAUGGGAUUAGAUACCCUAGUAGUC
Molecule: ribosomal RNA, 444 nt
Filed under: uncultured bacterium
Lineage: Bacteria
Description: bacterial SSU rRNA
Rfam family: Bacterial small subunit ribosomal RNA
Source: RNAcentral